Molecule: transfer RNA, 69 nt
Filed under: Sphyranura euryceae
Lineage: Eukaryota; Metazoa; Platyhelminthes; Monogenea; Polystomatidea; Sphyranuridae
Description: tRNA-Ser
Source: RNAcentral
UGCGAGUAAAGAAAAAUUUUCAUUUUGAUUUGAGAUCAGAUUUUGUUGUAAUUAUUACAGUACUUGUUA